UACGUAGGGUGCGAGCGUUAAUCGGAAUUACUGGGCGUAAAGCGUGCGCAGGCGGUUUUGUAAGCCAGAUGUGAAAGCCCCGGGCUUAACCUGGGAAUGGCAUUUGAGACUGCGUAGCUAGGGUGCGGAAGAGGGAAGCGGAAUUCCACGUGUAGCGGUGAAAUGCGUAGAUAUGUGGAAGAACACCGGUGGCGAAAGCGGUUCUCUAGCUUAUGCCUGACGCUGAGGCGCGAGAGCAAGGGGAGCAAACAGG
RNAcentral lists this ribosomal RNA (253 nucleotides) under uncultured bacterium. Its description in RNAcentral is "partial 16S ribosomal RNA". It matches the Rfam family "Bacterial small subunit ribosomal RNA", at positions 524 to 776 of the family's 1533-position model. The record is from RNAcentral.